Molecule: transfer RNA, 63 nt
Filed under: Camelus bactrianus (Bactrian camel)
Lineage: Eukaryota; Metazoa; Chordata; Mammalia; Artiodactyla; Camelidae
Also listed under: 2 other names
Rfam family: tRNA
About the family: Transfer RNA (tRNA) molecules are approximately 80 nucleotides in length. Their secondary structure includes four short double-helical elements and three loops (D, anti-codon, and T loops). Further hydrogen bonds mediate the characteristic L-shaped molecular structure. tRNAs have two regions of fundamental functional importance: the anti-codon, which is responsible for specific mRNA codon recognition, and the 3' end, to which the tRNAs corresponding amino acid is attached (by aminoacyl-tRNA synthetases). tRNAs cope with the degeneracy of the genetic code in two manners: having more than one tRNA (with a specific anti-codon) for a particular amino acid; and 'wobble' base-pairing, i.e. permitting non-standard base-pairing at the 3rd anti-codon position.
Source: Rfam by way of RNAcentral
AAAGAUAUAGCUCAGUGGUAGAGCACAUCCUUAGCAUCCUGAGUUCAAUCCUCAGUACCUUGU